RNAcentral lists this ribosomal RNA (462 nucleotides) under Streptococcus mitis. RNAcentral's name for it is "bacterial SSU rRNA". It matches the Rfam family "Bacterial small subunit ribosomal RNA", at positions 28 to 474 of the family's 1533-position model. The record is from RNAcentral. Lineage: Bacteria; Bacillati; Bacillota; Bacilli; Lactobacillales; Streptococcaceae.
GACGAACGCUGGCGGCGUGCCUAAUACAUGCAAGUAGAACGCUGAAGGAGGAGCUUGCUUCUCUGGAUGAGUUGCGAACGGGUGAGUAACGCGUAGGUAACCUGCCUGGUAGCGGGGGAUAACUAUUGGAAACGAUAGCUAAUACCGCAUAAAAACGGUUGUUGCAUGACAACUGUUUGAAAGGUGCAAUUGCAUCACUACCAGAUGGACCUGCGUUGUAUUAGCUAGUUGGUGGGGUAACGGCUCACCAAGGCGACGAUACAUAGCCGACCUGAGAGGGUGAUCGGCCACACUGGGACUGAGACACGGCCCAGACUCCUACGGGAGGCAGCAGUAGGGAAUCUUCGGCAAUGGACGGAAGUCUGACCGAGCAACGCCGCGUGAGUGAAGAAGGUUUUCGGAUCGUAAAGCUCUGUUGUAAGAGAAGAACGAGUGUGAGAGUGGAAAGUUCACACUGUGACG